GUCUCACCACCUGUUGUCGUUUCAUGAUCGUCAGUCCUGGUCUUCUUCAUGCUGCUUCAGGUCAUCACCCUCUCUCCUUCACUCGUGAGUUCCUAGUGUUUCUCAAGAGUGAAUUUCAGUGAAUUAACCCUGCCCCCAUCAUCGGAUACAGAAUGAAGCAGAGACGGAAAGAAUCCUCGAAUUGUGAAAACUACUUUGGUUCGUGGAUUUAACUUCACACUGUUCGAAAAUGCUGGUACAGGUGGAGUAAGGAUGGAUGGAGUCCAAAAAUACAUAUGUGCAUAUAUUCUUACUGUGUUCUUGGUUUCCUGUACUGUUUCUGUUCAUGGACUUUACCUAAUUAAAGGACACUCUUAGUUAA
Molecule: long non-coding RNA, 361 nt
Organism: Paralichthys olivaceus (Japanese flounder)
Lineage: Eukaryota; Metazoa; Chordata; Actinopteri; Pleuronectiformes; Paralichthyidae
Source: RefSeq, a predicted model, not a curated record